AUGAACGCUGGCGGCGUGCUUAACACAUGCAAGUCGAACGGUGAAGCAGAGCUUGCUCUGUGGAUCAGUGGCGAACGGGUGAGUAACACGUGAGCAACCUGCCCCUGACUCUGGGAUAAGCGCUGGAAACGGCGUCUAAUACUGGAUAUGUGACGUGGCCGCAUGGUCUGCGUCUGGAAAGAAUUUCGGUUGGGGAUGGGCUCGCGGCCUAUCAGCUUGUUGGUGAGGUAAUGGCUCACCAAGGCGUCGACGGGUAGCCGGCCUGAGAGGGUGACCGGCCACACUGGGACUGAGACACGGCCCAGACUCCUACGGGAGGCAGCAGUGGGGAAUAUUGCACAAUGGGCGAAAGCCUGAUGCAGCAACGCCGCGUGAGGGAUGACGGCCUUCGGGUUGUAAACCUCUUUUAGCAGGGAAGAAGCGAAAGUGACGGUACCUGCAGAAAAAGCGCCGGCUAACUACGUGCCAGCAGCCGCGGUAAUACGUAGGGCGCAAGCGUUAUCCGGAAUUAUUGGGCGUAAAGAGCUCGUAGGCGGUUUGUCGCGUCUGCUGUGAAAUCCGGAGGCUCAACCUCCGGCCUGCAGUGGGUACGGGCAGACUAGAGUGCGGUAGGGGAGAUUGGAAUUCCUGGUGUAGCGGUGGAAUGCGCAGAUAUCAGGAGGAACACCGAUGGCGAAGGCAGAUCUCUGGGCCGUAACUGACGCUGAGGAGCGAAAGGGUGGGGAGCAAACAGGCUUAGAUACCCUGGUAGUCCACCCCGUAAACGUUGGGAACUAGUUGUGGGGUCCAUUCCACGGAUUCCGUGACGCAGCUAACGC
RNAcentral lists this ribosomal RNA (818 nucleotides) under bacterium. RNAcentral describes it as "bacterial SSU rRNA". It matches the Rfam family "Bacterial small subunit ribosomal RNA", at positions 29 to 858 of the family's 1533-position model. The record is from RNAcentral.